GCUUCCCGUCGGGAUCCGUAGGGCGGUGGGGAGCUAGCUGCGGCAGCGACGGUGGCGGUGGUGGCAAAGCUCUGUUCACAGCGUACCGUGUCGGUCCUGCAGCGGUUGCUCAGUACCGGGCGGUAGCAGCAACUGCCACGACUCACGGGGAGAGCUUGGAAGAGCAGCGAGGAACGCCAGGAAAGGG
Molecule: long non-coding RNA, 187 nt
Filed under: Marmota monax (woodchuck)
Lineage: Eukaryota; Metazoa; Chordata; Mammalia; Rodentia; Sciuridae
Source: RNAcentral